Wyeomyia smithii (pitcher-plant mosquito) is the source of this 2353-nucleotide RNA transcript. It is a transcript of the gene named ras-related protein Rac1-like, with no coding region annotated. The record is from RefSeq and is a predicted model, not a curated record. The transcript has 3 exons. NCBI's taxonomy places the organism in Eukaryota, Metazoa, Arthropoda, Insecta, Diptera, Culicidae.
UGUCGAUGUCACAUCGGCAGCAGACUUCAGCAGCAGCUCUGGGUGCAAAGAUUGAGGAUUACAUUGGUGGUUUAUUAUAGGCCAGUUUAAUCAUCGCAUACAGUUUUUCUCAAGGUUUUUUCUCCAAAUUCUGAAUUAUUGUGAGGUGAAAAGUGCAAUUACAGUCUGCUCUAGCUAAGUGAAACUCGAAACGAGAGCAUUUUUUCGAUUGAGCUGAUUGUUUUUGUGCGUCGUCAGAGUAAGGAAAACGGAAAAAUGCAGGCUAUCAAGUGCGUCGUAGUAGGAGACGGUGCUGUCGGUAAAACAUGCUUACUGAUCAGCUACACCACCAAUGCGUUUCCGGGCGAGUACAUUCCGACCGUGUUUGACAACUACUCUGCAAACGUAAUGGUCGAUGGUAAACCCAUUAAUCUGGGCCUAUGGGAUACGGCCGGUCAAGAGGAUUACGAUCGGCUGCGACCGUUGUCUUAUCCACAAACGGAUGUAUUUCUCAUCUGCUUCUCGUUGGUCAAUCCGGCAUCCUUCGAGAACGUCCGAGCUAAGUGGUACCCGGAGGUACGUCAUCACUGUCCAAAUAUACCUAUAAUUCUGGUCGGGACAAAGUUGGAUUUGAGGGAUGACAAAAAUACCGUCGAUAAGCUGCGCGACAAAAAGCUCUCGCCCAUCACUUAUCCACAGGGUCUCGCCAUGGCCAAGGAAAUCGGAGCCGUGAAAUAUCUGGAAUGCUCGGCUCUAACUCAGAAGGGCCUCAAGACCGUGUUUGACGAAGCCAUUCGAGCUGUUCUCUGUCCCAUCAUACCGGUGAAAAACAAACGUAAAUGUUCAAUUCUGUAAGCAUGCCCUCCCCCAUUCGUCCCAUCAGUCCCAGAAGUUCCGAUUAUCCUUCCUUCCGCAUACAACUUCGCAGCACUGUUGAGAAGCUGUGAAUAUUGAACCAACCAGCGAAGAAAAGAGAAUCCCUCCCAAGCUUGUUAUCUCUCUCGUUGUGAAAUCAAAAUAGCAAAAAGCGGCAUUUUCUCGCAUUUCAAGUUUCAGUAGUUGAAAGUGGAUCUGUAAUUUGAUUGUGAAAUAAGAAGUGGUUUUAAAGUACAGUUCAUUGCAAAAAAAGAAAGUAAAAUGUUUCAAAUCUACUGCCAAGUUAAACAUUGGUAAAAGUGCUGCUAAAGACCGUAAACAAUACCCACACAACGCCAUCCCGAACGGAGUCACAAUGGAGAGAGUAGCAGAGGAACCAAAAGCGAGGAUGAUUAAAUGAAAGAGAUUCACCGAAUAAAAAAUGGCACACAGACACCGAAACCACACAAAUCAGAGUGAACAUAUAUAAAAAAAACUAAGUAGUUACUACACACCGUUACUCUAUUAUCCCGAAGUUCGACAUUUCGAAACAGUCUUUUCUGCCGACUUUCUUCCCUCUCCUCUGGAGGGGGUAGAAAAUAGCCACUUUUACAAAUGUUCCCGCUAGUAGUAGAGCGUUCGGUCAAACUUAGUACUACCAUCUUUGUAAGUGAAGGAAACGUUUCUUUCUUGAGGUAGAGUGGUGAACGAAUUGUAAGAAUAUGAAAAUCAAAACUACCAACGAUCCGGAAAUACGCUAGACUAGAGAAGCGAUUAAAGUUUAACAAAUGUUUAAGCUGUUUUUAUGUGCUUUUGAAGUAACAAAAGUAGAGCUUUAUUUGUUUUGUACGUUUAUUUCUGUAGAGCAAGUCAUUUAAUUUUUCGAAACGAAAAGUGAAAAAAUAAUAUAACCGUUGGUAGAGUAUACAAACACCGCGAUGAUACUUGUUCUUGUCUAACAUUGUAAAGUUUGUUUACAACACUAAUUCAUUGAUUAAACACAACAAGAACAAAACGUUUAUGACAGAAGUACAGCAAUGUCUAGCAGUAGCUAAGCAUAAUGAAACACACAAAGCAAACGUAAAUAGCAUGUAUGGUUACUGUAACGAUUAUUAUUGAUUGAAUGUUGUAACAUGAGAUUUUCUUUUUCUGUUUAUGGCUUGCGAUUGCGAUGUUUAUUUUCUAUAAAUGAAUGUUCCGCUCAUAGUUUUCAGUAGAAAUGGCAAAAAAAUAACACAAAUUUAAUUCAGAUUCAGAUUAACUUCAGUUUAUUUUUGUUCUUGCUAUCAUACAAAACAUGUUGUGAUGAGUGCUACUCUUGCAGCAUUCAGGUGUGAUUUGGCCCUUAGAUGUUUUAAACGCAGUAAAAAAGGUGUAAACUAAAAAAAAAAAUCUGUCGUAUUAGUAACAAAAAAAAAAGAUGGAAAAUUUAUUGAUAUAACAUUUUUAAUGAGUAUAAAUAAUGCUAAUAUUAUUGAACUAUUAAUAAGAAAAUAAACAAAAAACUAGAGAAAAUCAA